Molecule: ribosomal RNA, 497 nt
Filed under: uncultured bacterium
Lineage: Bacteria
Description: partial 16S ribosomal RNA
Rfam family: Bacterial small subunit ribosomal RNA
Source: RNAcentral
GAUGAACGCUGGCGGCGUGCCUAAUACAUGCCAGUCGAGCGAACAGAUAAGGAGCUUGCUCCUUUGACGUUAGCGGCGGACGGGUGAGUAACACGUGGGUAACCUACCUAUAAGACUGGGAUAACUUCGGGAAACCGGAGCUAAUACCGGAUAACAUUUGGAACCGCAUGGUUCUAAAGUGAAAGAUGGUUUUGCUAUCACUUAUAGAUGGACCCGCGCCGUAUUAGCUAGUUGGUAAGGUAACGGCUUACCAAGGCGACGAUACGUAGCCGACCUGAGAGGGUGAUCGGCCACACUGGAACUGAGACACGGUCCAGACUCCUACGGGAGGCAGCAGUAGGGGAUCUUCCGCAAUGGGCGAAAGCCUGACGGAGCAACGCCGCGUGAGUGAUGAAGGGUUUCGGCUCGUAAAACUCUGUUAUUAGGGAAGAACAAACGUGUAAGUAACUGUGCACGUCUUGACGGUACCUAAUCAGAAAGCCACGGCUAACUACGUG